This 768-nucleotide ribosomal RNA is filed under the name Desulfovibrionaceae bacterium enrichment culture clone SB-6. RNAcentral describes it as "bacterial SSU rRNA". It matches the Rfam family "Bacterial small subunit ribosomal RNA", at positions 28 to 774 of the family's 1533-position model. The record is from RNAcentral. Lineage: Bacteria; Pseudomonadati; Thermodesulfobacteriota; Desulfovibrionia; Desulfovibrionales; Desulfovibrionaceae.
AUUGAACGCUGGCGGCGUGCUUAACACAUGCAAGUCGUGCGAGAAAGGUUCCUUCGGGGACUGAGUAGAGCGGCGCACGGGUGAGUAACGCGUGGGUGACCUACCUGGGAGAUCGGGAUAACAGCGGGAAACUGCUGCUAAUACCGGCUACGCUUCCUAUUUCACUUUAGGGGGGAAAGGCGGCCUCUGCUUGCAAGCUGCCGCUCUCAGAUGGGCCCGCGUCUCAUUAGCUUGUUGGUGGGGUAAUGGCCUACCAAGGCGACGAUGAGUAGCUGGUCUGAGAGGAUGAUCAGCCACACUGGGACUGAAACACGGCCCAGACUCCUACGGGAGGCAGCAGUGGGGAAUAUUGCGCAAUGGGCGAAAGCCUGACGCAGCGACGCCGCGUGAGGGAAGAAGGCCUUCGGGUCGUAAACCUCUGUCUAGAGGGAAGAAACCAUUGGGGUCGAACAGGCCUCUUUGCUGACGGUACCUCUGAAGGAAGCACCGGCUAACUCCGUGCCAGCAGCCGCGGUAAUACGGAGGGUGCGAGCGUUAAUCGGAAUCACUGGGCGUAAAGCGCACGUAGGCGGUGUCGUAAGUCGGAUGUGAAAGCCCUCGGCUCAACCGGGGAACUGCAUUCGAUACUGCGAUGCUUGAGUGCCGGAGAGGGUGGCGGAAUUCCAGGUGUAGGAGUGAAAUCCGUAGAUAUCUGGAGGAACACCGGUGGCGAAGGCGGCCACCUGGCCGGCAACUGACGCUGAGGUGCGAAAGCGUGGGGAUCAAACA